RNAcentral lists this long non-coding RNA (199 nucleotides) under Elaeis guineensis (African oil palm). RNAcentral describes it as "long non-coding RNA (EGUI_LNC015115)". The record is from RNAcentral. Lineage: Eukaryota; Viridiplantae; Streptophyta; Magnoliopsida; Arecales; Arecaceae.
CAGGUAGAGUUUCAUCAGUCAAAUAUUGGAUGAUCGGAUCCAUCCAACUUGGCUCAUCAUUGAUUUGCAGUAUUUCUUCGACUUUAUCAACACUCAGUUGUUCAAGACAUUCGAUGAACGUCCGAUCGAGCGAGCUGAAUGAAGUAGUUGUGAGUCGAAAAAGUAUAUCAGCUCGAGUAUUUUCUGCUCUUGGAAUGUA